CAUUUAAGAUGAUCAUUUCCCAAACCUGAAUUUCUGUUGAAAAAGCCCUAGAGGAAUAUGGCUUCUGAGGGAU
Small nucleolar RNA from Sorex fumeus (smoky shrew), 73 nucleotides. RefSeq annotates it as small nucleolar RNA SNORD50. The transcript has a single exon. The record is from RefSeq and is a predicted model, not a curated record. Lineage: Eukaryota; Metazoa; Chordata; Mammalia; Eulipotyphla; Soricidae.